This is a long non-coding RNA of Oncorhynchus keta (chum salmon), 660 nucleotides long. RefSeq lists it as uncharacterized. NCBI's taxonomy places the organism in Eukaryota, Metazoa, Chordata, Actinopteri, Salmoniformes, Salmonidae. The record is from RefSeq and is a predicted model, not a curated record. The transcript has 6 exons.
AUGCUUGCUUCUUAUGGGUGUGAGGGGUCAGUGCAAAGAGCAACGAAACCCGAGAACGGUGUCUUUCCAUCAGACUCAGCAAGAUGGGGACCAACGCCAAGUCCUCUCACGACCAGAAAGGGAUGCCACAGCUUCUCCAAGACCCACUUUCACCGCUUGUAAACUCCUCUCACACCAUUAGAACACCGGGUGUUGGAUCAAAAUACACACGAGACAGGGUUUCAUGGUGACGAUGGCUCCAGUUUUACUGUCAUAUGGGUUGGAGACGGGACAGGGGUAAUCUUGGUGUUGUCUACAAUCAGUGCUCCUCUACAUUCCUUCUUCGAGGGCGGUUCUUCACGAUUGUACCGCAGUGCAGACUAUGGCAAGUCUUUCCAUGAUAUUUCUCAUCUCAUCAAUAACACCUUCAUAAGGAAGGAAUUUGGACUUCUGGCUGGACCAGGGAACUCUCAACAGGUGAUUCUGACUGCAGACACACCGGUUUUGGACAACACUGGUGGCGUCAUCUUUACCUCAACUGACGCCGGAGUGUCGUUUAAGUCUGUCCAGCUGCCUUUUCACCCGGCCCAGCCAAUCACCUUCCACUUCUUGAAUCCCGAGUACUUAGUGGUCAUCAGCAUAGAUGGUGGCCUGUGGCUUUCUCUGGACUUUGGGGCUGUG